RNAcentral lists this ribosomal RNA (372 nucleotides) under uncultured bacterium. Its description in RNAcentral is "bacterial SSU rRNA". It matches the Rfam family "Bacterial small subunit ribosomal RNA", at positions 28 to 408 of the family's 1533-position model. The record is from RNAcentral.
GAUGAACGCUAGCGGCAGGCUUAACACAUGCAAGUCGAGGGACGGUAGCAAUACUGGACCGGCAAACGGGUGCGGAACACGUACGCAACAUACCCUGAACUGGGGCAUAGCCUUCUGAAAAGGAGAUUAAUACCCCAUAAGAUAAUAGAGUGGCAUCACUUAGUUAUUAAAGAUUUAUUGGUUCAGGAUUGGCGUGCGUCCUAUUAGCUAGUUGGUAAGGGUAACGGCCUACCAAGGCGACGAUAGGUAGCUGGUGUGAGAGCACGACCAGCCACACGGGCACUGAGACACGGGCCCGACUCCUACGGGAGGCAGCAGUGAGGAAUAUUGGUCAAUGGAGGCAACUCUGAACCAGCCAUGCCGCGUGAAGGA